UACGAAGGGGGCUAGCGUUGCUCGGAUUUACUGGGCGUAAAGGGCGCGUAGGCGGCUUGGCAAGUGGAAGGUGAAAUCCCUCGGCUUAACCGAGGAACUGCCCUCCAAACUGCUUCGCUUGAGACCGGGAGAGGUGAGUGGAAUUCCCAGUGUAGCGGUGAAAUGCGUAGAUAUUGGGAGGAACACCAGUGGCGAAGGCGGCUCACUGGACCGGUACUGACGCUGAUGCGCGAAAGCGUGGGGAGCAAACGGG
Molecule: ribosomal RNA, 253 nt
Filed under: uncultured bacterium
Lineage: Bacteria
Description: partial 16S ribosomal RNA
Rfam family: Bacterial small subunit ribosomal RNA
Source: RNAcentral